RNAcentral lists this transfer RNA (73 nucleotides) under Caudoviricetes sp. Its description in RNAcentral is "tRNA-Asn". It matches the Rfam family "tRNA". Rfam says of the family: Transfer RNA (tRNA) molecules are approximately 80 nucleotides in length. Their secondary structure includes four short double-helical elements and three loops (D, anti-codon, and T loops). Further hydrogen bonds mediate the characteristic L-shaped molecular structure. tRNAs have two regions of fundamental functional importance: the anti-codon, which is responsible for specific mRNA codon recognition, and the 3' end, to which the tRNAs corresponding amino acid is attached (by aminoacyl-tRNA synthetases). tRNAs cope with the degeneracy of the genetic code in two manners: having more than one tRNA (with a specific anti-codon) for a particular amino acid; and 'wobble' base-pairing, i.e. permitting non-standard base-pairing at the 3rd anti-codon position. Lineage: Duplodnaviria; Heunggongvirae; Uroviricota; Caudoviricetes. The record is from RNAcentral.
UCUUCUCUAGCUUAAUAGGUAAAGCCCGAAACUGUUAAUUUCGCUUAUUUAGGUUCGAAUCCUAAGGGAAGAG